Molecule: ribosomal RNA, 281 nt
Filed under: uncultured Vibrionaceae bacterium
Lineage: Bacteria; Pseudomonadati; Pseudomonadota; Gammaproteobacteria; Vibrionales; Vibrionaceae
Description: partial 16S ribosomal RNA
Rfam family: Bacterial small subunit ribosomal RNA
Source: RNAcentral
AGCUGCAGAAGAAGCACCGGCUAACUCCGUGCCAGCAGCCGCGGUAAUACGGAGGGUGCGAGCGUUAAUCGGAAUUACUGGGCGUAAAGCGCAUGCAGGUGGUUUGUUAAGUCAGAUGUGAAAGCCCGGGGCUCAACCUCGGAAUUGCAUUUGAAACUGGCAGACUAGAGUACUGUAGAGGGGGGUAGAAUUUCAGGUGUAGCGGUGAAAUGCGUAGAGAUCUGAAGGAAUACCGGUGGCGAAGGCGGCCCCCUGGACAGAUACUGACACUCAGAUGCGAA